This is a long non-coding RNA of Liolophura sinensis, 2758 nucleotides long. RefSeq lists it as uncharacterized. The record is from RefSeq and is a predicted model, not a curated record. The transcript is spliced from 2 exons. NCBI's taxonomy places the organism in Eukaryota, Metazoa, Mollusca, Polyplacophora, Chitonida, Chitonidae.
GACCUUUCCACGUAUGCAUACCUUUAUUACAACCAUAAGCAAUAACGUGUACCGGAAUAUGUGCUACAAGCUUGUCAGCACUGUUAUCAUUUGUGCUAAACUGAAUAAAUAUCACAAAAGCCUGCAACACCGCAGAACCCCCAUUAUCAGCUGCUACCCCAUUCAUAUCAUCUCAGCUCAAACAAACGGGCAUGCGCAUCGCAAUCAAGGCAAAGCAUGCACUCGGCUGUAACAAUCAGACAGUUUUAAUGUUAAAAAAAAAUGGACGCAAAAUGAACGAGCUGAAGAUAUCUGUCGCGUACAUUGCCCGAUGUAAGUAAGCAUUGCCGCGUUUAAGUGAAGAUCGUGAAUUGAAUCGAGUUUACGAGAAAUACCGAGUUAAUUUACCCAAGAGUGACGGAGAUAUUUUGAGAAUGACCCAUUGGCCGCAAACACGGAUCUAGCCUGUCGUCGCGGUCAAUAACCACGAAUACACGGAAUGACAGGAGAAGGUGUGUGGACACAACAAAAGGCAUAUCCCUAUGUGAAAUAUAGGUCACGCGAGACACAGAUGUGGCUGAGGGGGAAAAACAACGCUGGAUUUAAGCCUAACAACGUGACGAGGCGGAUAUAUCAAGUAUACGGCGCGUUUUAAACAGACGUAUCAGCAUAACCGUACAGGUGAGGAUAACGGAAAAAUCCCACACAAAUAUGUGGAUGGAGAUCCCGGAAUAUCUGUAUGCUUCAGUGAAUUAACAAAAGAGAAAUUUUCUUGUACUAAUAUGUAUAGUCAUAUGAACCAGACAUAUCUGACUAGGUGUAGUCACACCUGUGCAUGUGUAAAACUAGGCCAACUGCGUAUAACGGAGUCCUGGUGUUGAAUUGACCAGGUGAAUUGUUACAUCUGAAUCCUGGUUCUCCACCUUUACGCCAGUGUAGGAAUCCCAAAUCUACAGGCUGUGUUGUGUGAUAUACGGCCGGUUUGUUAGAGCGCAUUAUUGGAAGUGCUAACCUACUUAUGUGUGUACUGUUAUGAUGUCAGUAUUUUACAAGGGAGACUACAUGAACCUUACAUCUACAAAGGUAUCUAUAUCACGGCUCAGCCGGUGAAAUAAUCCAGAAUUCUGUACCCGUAACCUAGUCUACAAUUCAAGAAGACAGUUCACCCGUAACGGCCAGUUUACUCAAACCCGAGUUUACUGAGAAAACGCACUGAUUUGGUGAUUGGAGUCAUCCAAUCCAACAUCGAAUCCAGGUGCAUGCCACUGAGAACAAUACAGGAGUCAUUUUUUAUUUAACCAAAACAACAAUGGCGAAGAAGCAAGACUGUUGCUGUGAAUGCGUGUUUUGUCAAACUGUUGUGCUGGUUGCUCUCUGUGCAGCUCCCAUAGCACUUUUCGCAGUGGGCUUCGCGUUAGCAUUACCAUAUGGUUACAUUCGGCACUUCUCGCAGGAGCCUGUGACCUGUCACGUGACGUUCGUGCAAGAGCGAGGACUGUAUUCGUGUAAUUACUGCGAUGAAGACUAUAACUCCUGCUUUUCCAACUAUCCGUGCGUGAGGAUCGUGGUGGAAUAUGUCAGCCACGUAAACCAGUCGCUUGUGGAAAAUGCCACUUUAUAUCACCAUCCGUACAGUUACCUAAGUGACAAGAAAAUGCAGUGCUCUACAAGUACGUGUGACAAAGAUGUAGCCGAAAACAACCGAACAGUUGCCGAGUUUGUCCAAAAGUACGGCGUGAUAGGUCGGACAUUUCCGUGCUAUCCCGGAAAAGAUUCGAACCCCGAGGCUCUAUUGAACAUCAUAGAACACUGGAAGGUUCUCUUGGGGAUGCUGUUACCCACUGCUAUCUUUAUAACCGCUGCCGUCACGGAAAUUUGCUAUUGUGUAGUUUGUCCCAGGUAUAAACGGUAGUAAAGAUAGGAUUUAUUUAUUUAUUUGAUAGGUGAUAUACACCCUACUCAAGAAUAUUUCAGACCAUCCGCAGGUCGCUAAGAGGCCUUCCCACAUACGGCCGGAGAAAGGUGAAGUACAAGAUGCCCUGAUAACAUAUGUAAACUGUUUAAGGGUCACGGGAAAAAAUUCACGCAAUACCUGCUUGCAAAUAGCCACAAACGGGAGUAUUUAUUAAUGUUGUUCUGUGCCCAAGCAGAUUUCUCGAAUUUUGUACAUGUAAGCGUAUAGACUUUGCUAACACACACCAAUCUGUUCAUUGGAGAGACUUACACGAGUACUGAAACAUCAUCACUUUGUGUGGUCUCUGUGACGUAUAUCCGCACUAUAUAUGCAGGCAUGUGUAUGUGUGAAUAGGAUAUAAGAAGACAUGCACGUCAGUUUUAUGGGGUACUUUUAAUGUUUUUCUUGUACGUGUACCACUUGUACGUGUAUGAGUACGUCUACGUGUACCAUUGAUUGACAAUUUCUGAAUGAAAUAUGAGCGGAUUCUAGUAAAGAUUCAAAACUUACAGCAUAUGACUGAAUGAAUUACGAUGGCAAUAGACUAGCAGAAGUAUCUUUGCGUGUAAACGCAAAAGGUUCCUAUUAUCCUAUUAUUGUUCUUAUCAGUAUGUGUAUAUGUAGUAUUGCAAAACCUCGUUGUUAUCUUCCUCGAACCUAAGAAUUUACAUUGCCAGUGCAAGUCAGCGUUAAGUUUACAAUUUUAUAUAUUUUAAAUCGAGAUUUAAAACGCUGACUGUCUUAUUUACGUUCUUUAUAUAUAUUUUUAUACAUGUUUAACAUUAUUUUAUAUUUUAUAAUAAAUUAUUUUUCUGUAGAAUCCAA